Molecule: ribosomal RNA, 450 nt
Filed under: uncultured organism
Description: partial 16S ribosomal RNA
Rfam family: Bacterial small subunit ribosomal RNA
Source: RNAcentral
CACUCCUACGGGAGGCAGCAGUGGGGAAUAUUGGACAAUGGGCGCAAGCCUGAUCCAGCCAUGCCGCGUGAGUGAUGAAGGCCCUAGGGUUGUAAAGCUCUUUCACCGGUGAAGAUAAUGACGGUAACCGGAGAAGAAGCCCCGGCUAACUUCGUGCCAGCAGCCGCGGUAAUACGAAGGGGGCUAGCGUUGUUCGGAUUUACUGGGCGUAAAGCGCACGUAGGCGGACUAUUAAGUCAGGGGUGAAAUCCCGGGGCUCAACCCCGGAACUGCCUUUGAUACUGGUAGUCUUGAGUUCGAGAGAGGUGAGUGGAAUUCCGAGUGUAGAGGUGAAAUUCGUAGAUAUUCGGAGGAACACCAGUGGCGAAGGCGGCUCACUGGCUCGAUACUGACGCUGAGGUGCGAAAGCGUGGGGAGCAAACAGGAGUAGAAACCCUGGUAGUCCCAUGA